AACGCGAAGAACCUUACCUGGGCUCGAAAUGUACCGGAAUCCGGCAGAAACGUCGGCGUCUAGCAAUAGACCGGUAUAUAGGUGCUGCAUGGCUGUCGUCAGCUCGUGUCGUGAGAUGUUGGGUUAAGUCCCGCAACGAGCGCAACCCUUAUCUUCAGUUGCUACCAUUUAGUUGAGCACUCUGACGAAACCGCCUCGGAUAACGGGGAGGAAGGUGGGGAUGACGUCAAGUCCUCAUGGCCUUUAUGUCCAGGGCUACACACGUGCUACAAUGGCCGGUACAAACCGCUGCAAACCCGCGAGGGGGAGCUAAUCGGAAAAAGCCGGCCUCAGUUCGGAUUGGAGUCUGCAACUCGACUCCAUGAAGCUGGAAUCGCUAGUAAUCGUGGAUCAGCAUGCCACGGUGAAUACGUUCCCGGGCCUUGUA
This 427-nucleotide ribosomal RNA is filed under the name uncultured Acidobacterium sp. RNAcentral's name for it is "bacterial SSU rRNA". It matches the Rfam family "Bacterial small subunit ribosomal RNA", at positions 958 to 1385 of the family's 1533-position model. Lineage: Bacteria; Pseudomonadati; Acidobacteriota; Terriglobia; Terriglobales; Acidobacteriaceae. The record is from RNAcentral.